This 632-nucleotide long non-coding RNA is filed under the name Chloebia gouldiae (Gouldian finch). RNAcentral describes it as "Erythrura gouldiae (Gouldian finch) lncRNA (ENSEGOG00005001953.1)". The record is from RNAcentral. Lineage: Eukaryota; Metazoa; Chordata; Aves; Passeriformes; Passeridae.
UUGACACUUCCUCUACUGGUUUCACUGGGUCAGAGAUACACUUUGCAAUGAACAGGCAGGAGGUUUUCCUCCCUUUUGAAGAGGAAGUCUGGGAAAAAGAAGCCCUGCCUUCUCCAGGCCCCCGGGAAGCACAUGAGUGGUGCGCUGGUCCCAGCUUGCCUAAGCCUUGGCAUGGUGGCAUAUGUGCCAGCAGUUCCAGAGCCACCCCACCUUGGUGUCUUUGGAAGAAACGUGCGUGUUUUGGGCCACCCCUGCAGUCACUGCAGGGCAGCAACUCCAGACCCUCCAAGGGGCUGGUCUCAUCCAGGGCAGAUGCCAUCAUCUGGGGGUCCUGCAGCCACCAACUCAGGGCUGAGCAGCAACCAGCAGCAGCCUCAGCUCAGCAGAAGUCUGUCAGAACAUAUGGCUAAUCUGGUGUAUGCACACAUGCUACCAGGACCAAUGUGGUUUCUGAACAAGCCCAGGUUUAUCACCAGCAUUGGGAUGUCCUUCCCCAGCAGUACCUGAGGAGUCUGUGCAGAAGCUGCAGCAGCACCAGGAUGGAACACGCUGGAGAGGCAUGGCUUGCUUCUCUUCCCACAGCUCCAGACGACAAAAAUAAAUGGUGACAAUUCUCCUGUUGUUUUAUUCCA